RNAcentral lists this long non-coding RNA (984 nucleotides) under Triticum aestivum (bread wheat). RNAcentral describes it as "long non-coding RNA (TAES_LNC014405)". The record is from RNAcentral. Lineage: Eukaryota; Viridiplantae; Streptophyta; Magnoliopsida; Poales; Poaceae.
UUUAUCAUACAUUAAUCAUAUGUCAACAACUCAUUCAAACAAUCAAUGAACAAUUAUUUGAUAUCACAAUGAUAUAAUUCCCGCUUCACCUGAAGGUCCAAAAGUACAGUCUUCUCUACCGCUUUCUUUACAAAAUCAAUUAUAUUCAAUGUUCCUAGAAAAAAUGGAAGUGAUUACACAAACCUAUCGGUUACUCAUGUUUGCAUGCCUUGUCCUCUUUACCGCGAGAGUACUCCACCAAACAUCGAGCUUCACAAUAACCCCAAUUAUCAUCCUCAUUGAGUUUAUCAUCUUCCUCGACAACAAUUGUGUAGAUCUUCAAGUGCCAGACUUUAAAAAUGACAAUGAACCUGAGCAUUGAUGGAAAGGUAACAAUUUUACACGAUCACACUCUAGCCUUGGGCCACAACUUCACUUUCUUCCCAUGCCACCUUCCUUGGUGUCUCCCUCCUUUCUCCCAGCUUUGUCACCUCCCUCCAUCCUUCCUGAUCCUCCCUUCUUUCACCUCCCUGUGUUGCAUGUCCACCACUCUUGCAGCUCUACUGGCACAAUCAGCAAAAGACAUGUCUUGAACUUGAUUCCAACAAAAAAAAAUCUGUUGGGUUGAAUAAAAAAUUAAACAUUAUUUUUACCCUAUAUUUGAACAGGAAGAAAAGGAAGUAGAUUCAAUUCACACAUAUGAGUGGGGGUUGCAACUGCACACAGUACCUAUGCAAAUGCCUAAUGUGAACAACUAUCAUUGUUCAAACACACUUAUCAGUUACUCUUUGUACCUUUGCAUUUACUCCUCAAUCACCCUGCAACAAGACAUGACAUCAUCUUCAUUCACCUCACGUUAAUAUUUAGGUCAGAAAACAUGAAGAACUUGAGACUUGGGAGUUGAUGGAAUCCAUUGUCUUGCUCUACAAACUUUAUUAUUUCACCAUAUUUUCUUCUACAUGUGCUCUUUCAAGAAGGCACAUGAAAUAAGAGCCGCAACGGAUG